Molecule: ribosomal RNA, 393 nt
Filed under: uncultured organism
Description: bacterial SSU rRNA
Rfam family: Bacterial small subunit ribosomal RNA
Source: RNAcentral
CGCCUAACACAUGCAAGUCGAACGAGGACGGCUUCAGCAAUGGGGCCUAGUAAAGUGGCGUACGGGUGAGUAACACGUGGAUAAUCUACCCUCAAGCGGGGGAUAACCUGGGGAAACCCGGGCUAAUACCGCAUAACAUCUCGAUGGCGUAAGUUGUUGAGAUCAAAGGAGCAAUUCGCUAGAGGAGGGGUCCGCGGCCGAUUAGCUUGUUGGCGGGGUAACGGCCCACCAAGGCAAUGAUCGGUAGCCGGCCUGAGAGGACGCACGGCCACACUGGAACUGACACACGGUCCAGACUCCUACGGGAGGCAGCAGUGGGGAAUCUUGCACAAUGGGGGAAACCCUGAUGCAGCGACGCCGCGUGGGUGAUGAACUCUUCGGAGUGUAAAGCCC